GCUGAUGCUGCGCUCCAAGUUUAAUGUGACUGUGUUUCUGUGGCUUCCUGCACGUUAUGGACACGAUCUGUGACAUUAAUCAUCAGUAUUUUAGUUGCUGGGAUUCUGAACACUUGACAAAUAUUUAGAAAUAUACGUUGUUGUUGUGUUGUUUUGAUAACAGGUUACUGCUCAAGUUUAUUGCAGAAAUGCAGAGUAAACAUUAAAGAGGGAGACACCGGACCUGUAACACUAACCACUAAGCCGCUGUGCAGCCCUACCAAGAAAAUCAUUGUAUUUGCAGCAAAUUUGCUCCAAACAGUGACCUGCAGUAAACCUGCCAUCAGUUUUCCACAAAGUUUGAGGUCUAGUCCACCAGAAUUCCAGGAGUUCAGCCCUGGACCAGACUCAUUGUCCUCCCUGAUGACUUGACGUCUCUGUCUGUCACCGAGACGCAGAUACAAAGACGACGCACAAUGAGACGCAGCACUGCCUCCGGUGGCCGCCUGGCAUCCUGACAGGGUCUCUUUCAAAGGUUACAUGUCAAUCCCAUCUGACAGCCGUGAUAAAGACUUUGGGAUCUGGGCAGGAAUCAAUGUUGUGAAACGGCACCAAGUUAUGCAAAACCGAGCAAUUAUUACAACUUGUUUCCUUGUUUUAAUGUUGUGACCUGACAGCAAAUGUACUGUUACUGAGCAUUACUUAUAAACACUGAAAAAGUACAGAGAGAGGAUGUUUUUUUUCUAAACUCUGGUGUGUUUCUGGGAGGUUAAAGUGUUAUUUUCCCUCAGUUUCAAUGGGAUACAGUAAAGUUCAUAUCUAGUCUGAACCUCUAAGUGUCCCCAAUGUGCCUUUCAAUGGGAAUAUUUGGAUUUGUUGGGUUUUCCAUGUACAAUUUUAUCGAAUAUGAACCAUUAUUGUAAAUAUACUAAAAUUUGGAAGGUUAAUCUUCUUCCUUUUUUUAGUUUGAAAAAGUUUUCAUAAAACAUUAGUCCUUUUACAUAGUCUCAGUAUUGCUGCAAGUGGAUUUACAUUCCGUACGACUAAAAUAAAAUAUACCGCAGUAUGUUGAUAACCCCUUGUAA
Amphiprion ocellaris (clown anemonefish) is the source of this 1064-nucleotide long non-coding RNA. NCBI's taxonomy places the organism in Eukaryota, Metazoa, Chordata, Actinopteri, Pomacentridae. The record is from Ensembl.